RNAcentral lists this ribosomal RNA (1372 nucleotides) under metagenome. RNAcentral's name for it is "SSU rRNA". It matches the Rfam family "Eukaryotic small subunit ribosomal RNA", at positions 404 to 1801 of the family's 1831-position model. The record is from RNAcentral.
UGGCUACCACAUCUACGGAAGGCAGCAGGCGCGCAAAUUACCCACUCCUAGAACGGGGAGGUAGUGACGAAAAAUAACAAUACCGGACUCAAUGAGGCUCGGUAAUUGAAAUGAGUACAGUUUAAAACCCUUAACGAGGAUCUAUUGGAGGGCAAGUCUGGUGCCAGCAGCCGCGGUAAUUCCAGCUCCAAUAGCGUAUAUUAAAGUUGUUGCAGUUAAAAAGCUCGUAGUUGGAUCUCGGGUACUAGCAUGUGGUACGCUUAAUUGCUGUUACUACAUGUCUGGUCCUAAUCAACCGGUUGGCCGUUGAUGUCCUUUAUUGGGUGUUUUCGGUAGCCGGUACGUUUACUUUGAGAAAAUUAGAGUGCUUAAAGCAGGCCUUACGCCUGAAUAAUGUUGCAUGGAAUAAUAGAAUAGGACCUCGGUUCUGUUUUGUUGGUUUUGUAGAGCAUUGAGGUAAUGAUUAAUAGGGACAGACGGGGGCAUUCGUAUUGCGGUGUUAGAGGUGAAAUUCUUGGAUCGCCGCAAGACGAACAACUGCGAAAGCAUUUGCCAAGAAUGUUUUCAUUGAUCAAGAGCGAAAGUUGGAGGUUCGAAGACGAUUAGAUACCGUCCUAGUUCCAACCAUAAACGAUGCCAACUAGCGAUUAGCUGCCGUUAAUUUAACGACACAGCUAGCAGCUUCCGGGAAACCAAAGUUUUUGGGUUCCGGGGGAAGUAUGGUUGCAAAGCUGAAACUUAAAGGAAUUGACGGAAGGGCACCACCAGGAGUGGAGCCUGCGGCUUAAUUUGACCCAACACGGGAAAUCUCACCCGGCCCGGACACUGUAAGGAUUGACAGAUUGAGAGCUCUUUCUUGAUUCGGUGGGUGGUGGUGCAUGGCCGUUCUUAGUUGGUGGAGCGAUUUGUCUGGUUAAUUCCGAUAACGAACGAGACUCUAGCCUGCUAAAUAGUACGCCGAUCAUUAGUCGGCGCGUACUUCUUAGAGGGACAAGUAGCGGUAAGCUACACGAAAUUGAGCAAUAACAGGUCUGUGAUGCCCUUAGAUGUUCGGGGCCGCACGCGCGCUACACUGAAGGGAUAAGCGUGUUUUUCCUGCUCCGAAAGGAGUGGGCAACCCGCUGAAACCCCUUCGUGAUUGGGAUCGGGGCUUGAAAUUAUUCUCCGUGAACGAGGAAUUCCCAGUAAGCGCGAGUCAUAAGCUCGCGUUGAUACGUCCCUGCCCUUUGUACACACCGCCCGUCGCUACUACCGAUUGAAUGGUUUAGUGAGAUCUUCGGAUUGGUCCGGAGGUGGCCGCAAGGUCGCCUCUAGGUGCCGAGAAGAUGAUCAAACUUGAUCAUUAAGAGGAAGUAAAAGUCGUAACAAGGUU